UACGAAGGGGGCUAGCGUUGUUCGGAAUCACUGGGCGUAAAGCGCGCGCAGGCGGCUUGACAAGUCUGCUGUGAAAGCCCUGGGCUCAACCUGGGAAGUGCAUUGGAAACUGUCAGGCUUGAGUACCGGAGAGGAUGGGGGAAUUCCCGGUGUAGAGGUGAAAUUCGUAGAGAUCGGGAGGAAUACCAGUGGCGAAGGCGGCCAUCUGGACGGUUACUGACGCUGAGACGCGAAAGCGUGGGUAGCAAACAGG
Molecule: ribosomal RNA, 253 nt
Filed under: uncultured bacterium
Lineage: Bacteria
Description: partial 16S ribosomal RNA
Rfam family: Bacterial small subunit ribosomal RNA
Source: RNAcentral